Dioscorea cayenensis subsp. rotundata (Guinea yam) is the source of this 1267-nucleotide long non-coding RNA. RefSeq lists it as uncharacterized. The record is from RefSeq and is a predicted model, not a curated record. Lineage: Eukaryota; Viridiplantae; Streptophyta; Magnoliopsida; Dioscoreales; Dioscoreaceae. The transcript has 3 exons.
UCGGACCUUCUGCGCCACACAUAUCUUCACCAGUAGAAUCAAGGAUUUCUCCUAAAAGGAUUCGAACUACCACAUCAUCACGAACUCACUCGGUGCCUUUGCAUGAUCCUCAUCAAUUACCACCUCAAGGUGAUAUUCCUAACAUAAGUGAACAUGAAGAAGAUCAAGCUAGCAUCUCCAAACCGGGAUCUAACCCAAUAGCUCCUUCCCCAAAGAUGAGCCCCUCCGCACAUGACUCUUUGUUUUUAGAUUUUGCACAUGAUGACAGUUACACACCCAUCCUUGAUGCUAAUCCUUCUACAGAAAGCUCUUUUUCAAAAGAAGCUUCAAAGUCACCACAAGUCAUCCCUUCUCCUCAAUAUGCAAAAGAAGACUCUACUCCAAAAGCUAUGGGAGUUGCGUCUAUGAGCUCAUUUCCUUCUCAACUUGUUAGAAAAGACACUGGCUUGGAGUUUUUUUUUGGGUAAAUAAGCUCAUUGAAAAGGUGAAAAUCAUCACGUCCUCAUGAACACAAAUCUUUGAGGGAGGAAACUACAAAAUUGCACAAAAACUUGAUGACACAUGGAGCUGACAUUUCAGUCACAAGGGACAAGAUAUAUGAAGUACUUGAUAUGGCUAAGAUUGCCCAUGACACAAAUAAUGGAGGAAGCGACCUAAACUUGGCGGAAAAGGAGGAAUUGAUGGUGUAAGAAGAAAAGCUAAAGAAAACUAAAUUGUCCCUCACUGCAAUAUCCCAACAUAUGGAUGAGACUAAUAUGGAGCUCAUACAAAUAAGAAAGAAAUUGCAAGAAUGGAGAGCCCAAGGGGAGGAAUUGAAAGCACAAGAAAAAGAGAAAGAACAAAUCAUCUCCUCAAGAAUGGGACUAUUAUCUAAUGCUCCUCCCAUUGAAGAAGUGAACAAGUCCCUUGCUGAUAUUCAUCAACAGAUUGAAGCACUUGGAGGUGGCGGUGAUAAAUUACAAACCUCAUUGUCAUCUAAGGAGGCCCUUGCCAACUUUGAGAGAGUGAAAGCUUAACUUUAGUCUUAGCUUAUUUUAUCUUCGAAUUUAGCUUAGUUUACUUCCAUUGCUUAGUUUUAAGCCCUAGCUAUUUUAUUUAUUCAACUUUAGCUUAAUGUAAUAAAUGGACUAAAAGUCCAUGUUUUCCUAACUUUUCUCCUUAGUAAUAGAAAUUUUCCUUCCAAACUAUUUUCCUUUUUUGUUUCUUUCUUUUCUUUUCUUUUUAUUAUUUUUUUUUUUUUAUGAGUGGCCGAACUCCAAACAUGACU